Podarcis lilfordi (Lilford's wall lizard) is the source of this 68-nucleotide non-coding RNA. Lineage: Eukaryota; Metazoa; Chordata; Lepidosauria; Squamata; Lacertidae. The record is from the annotation of a GenBank genome assembly.
GCAAGCUCAGUUGGAAGAGCAUGAAACUCUUAAUCCCAGGGUCAUGGGUUUGAGCCUCACAUUGGGCA